Long non-coding RNA from Alosa sapidissima (American shad), 694 nucleotides. RefSeq lists it as uncharacterized. NCBI's taxonomy places the organism in Eukaryota, Metazoa, Chordata, Actinopteri, Clupeiformes, Clupeidae. The record is from RefSeq and is a predicted model, not a curated record. The transcript has 4 exons.
GAGCGUUUGAGUGCACGUACAGACACGGGAGAGGUAUGACUCAACUCGUGAAAGUUAAGUGUGUUUCUGUUCUGUUCCUGUCUUGUUCUGCAACUAGAUGUGCCAGGACUCCUAUAUGGCAUGAACAAAAUAAUGGAUUCAAUUACACCUCCUAAGACUAGCACACCAAGGCUGACCUUGCAAGGUUCUCCUCGGUCAACAUCCAGUUCAGGGCCCACCCCUGAUAAGUCCCCAAGUUCUAGGCUCUCUACAGCCACAUCUGCAUCUCCCCCAUUCCAUCACCAACUGUCUCCCAGCCAUCUAAGGUGGAGAUUCAUCCUGGGACUGGAGUCAUGAUUGACAAACUAGCAUGGGCCUAUGCCCUCAAUUCAAAUUCAGCCACUGUGUUUGUGAGGCAUCUCCUCACUGCAGUCUUCCCAUUGGAAAUAUUACUGGUGAGCAAUCUUCGGGGGACCAAAAGAAGUGGAGGAGAUACUCGUCUACCACUGGACAAAAAUAAAUUGGAUGCCAUUUACAGUGCAACUCUUGAGAGGUUUCCAGGGACUCCACUGUCCAUGGAACCACGAUCAAUGCCAAGAUUACCGAGCUCAGAUCUAAAAGUAAAACCUCCACACCUCACAGUUAAACUUCUGCCUUUGGAGCCCAUUUAAUUAGUGUUGAGGGCAUGUUAGUGAGAUUGGCAUGUUAAUUGUAA